GACGAACGCUGGCGGCGUGCUUAACACAUGCAAGUCGAACGGAAAGGCCCUGCUUUUGUGGGGUGCUCGAGUGGCGAACGGGUGAGUAACACGUGAGUAACCUGCCCUUGACUUUGGGAUAACUUCAGGAAACUGGGGCUAAUACCGGAUAGGAGCUCCUGCUGCAUGGUGGGGGUUGGAAAGUUUCGGCGGUGUGGGAUGGACUCGCGGCUUCUCAGCUUGUUGGUGGGGUAGUGGCUUACCAAGGCUUUGAAGGGUAGCCGGCCUGAGAGGGUGACCGGGCACAUUGGGCCUGCGAGACGGCCCAGACUCCUACGGGCGGCAGCAGUGGGGAAUAUUGCACAAUGGGCGGAAGCCUGAUGCAGCAACGCCGCGUGCGGGAUGACGGCCUUCGGGUUGUAAACAGCUUUCGCCUGUGACGAAGAGUGAGUGACGGUAAUGGGUAAAGAAGCACCGGCUAACUACGUG
This 468-nucleotide ribosomal RNA is filed under the name uncultured bacterium. Its description in RNAcentral is "partial 16S ribosomal RNA". It matches the Rfam family "Bacterial small subunit ribosomal RNA", at positions 28 to 507 of the family's 1533-position model. The record is from RNAcentral.